CUUAGACUUUGAUCCUGGCUCAGGAUGAACGCUGGCGGUAUGCUUAACACAUGCAAGUCGAACGGUGUCUUCGGACAUAGUGGCGGACGGGUGAGUAACGCGUGAGAAUCUAGCUUCAGGUCUGGGACAACCACUGGAAACGGUGGCUAAUACCGGAUGUGCCGGAAGGUGAAAGGCUUGCUGCCUGAAGAUGAGCUCGCGUCCGAUUAGCUAGUAGGUGGGGUAAGAGCCUACCUAGGCGACGAUCGGUAGCUGGUCUGAGAGGAUGACCAGCCACACUGGGACUGAGACACGGCCCAGACUCCUACGGGAGGCAGCAGUGGGGAAUUUUCCGUAAUGGGCGAAAGCCUGACGGAGCAAUACCGCGUGAGGGAGGAAGGCUCUUGGGUUGUAAACCUCUUUUCUCAGGGAAGAACACAAUGACGGUACCUGAGGAAUCAGCAUCGGCUAACUCCGUGCCAGCAGCCGCGGUAAUACGGAGGAUGCAAGCGUUAUCCGGAAUGAUUGGGCGUAAAGCGUCCGCAGGUGGCUGUGUAAGUCUGCUGUCAAAGAGCAAAGCUCAACUUUGUAAAGGCAGUGGAAACUACACGGCUAGAGUGCGUUCGGGGCAGAGGGAAUUCCUGGUGUAGCGGUGAAAUGCGUAGAGAUCAGGAAGAACACCGGUGGCGAAGGCGCUCUGCUAGGCCGCAACUGACACUGAGGGACGAAAGCUAGGGGAGCGAAUGGGAUUAGAUACCCCAGUAGUCCUAGCUGUAAACGAUG
RNAcentral lists this ribosomal RNA (762 nucleotides) under uncultured bacterium. RNAcentral's name for it is "bacterial SSU rRNA". It matches the Rfam family "Bacterial small subunit ribosomal RNA", at positions 1 to 811 of the family's 1533-position model. The record is from RNAcentral.